This 1277-nucleotide long non-coding RNA is filed under the name Olea europaea subsp. europaea. Lineage: Eukaryota; Viridiplantae; Streptophyta; Magnoliopsida; Lamiales; Oleaceae. The record is from RNAcentral.
UUUGUUUCCAUACAUGAUUGGACAGAAAAAGGAAAUAAAAAAUCGUGCCUCGAAUUCCUUCCAUGCGGCCGCAUGCUAUAUUUCCAUGCUACCGCAUGGAAUAAUAAAAAAGGCUCCAAAAAUUGCUGAACCCGUUUGUGCAACCGCAUGGAAAAUGAACUGUUCGACAUCAUGGAAAACUAAUUGGAACCGUGCGACUGCAUGGAAAACGAACCAUGCGACCGCAUGGUUAUACAUUUUUCUUCAUCGUAUAGCUUUCAAUUUUUUAAUCAUAACUUUCUCUCUUUAUGUCCGAUUGAGGUGAUUCAAAUUGCAUUGAAAAGAUAACUCAACGGUCUACAAAUUUUCUUCAGAAGUCAUCUUCCAAUUAGAUCGUCUACCAUGUCUAAAAUGGGUCCCAAUAUGAUGCUAAAAACCGCUGCAUUACUUUUUCGAUCGGAAAUUGAUGUGUGAUUAUACUUCGACUAUAUUUCACCUCUUUGACUUCUUUCUUCAUCAACUUGACAUCUAAAACUCUUGAAUCUUCAUUCCAUCGUUCGUCUCCCGGUUCAACUUUUGAAUAUUUGCAGUUCAGUCCUUGAUCUUUUGAUUUCUUUCACUUUCGUCCUUCUUCACUCUAUUCCUCUAAUUUGUGCCAUAAUCAUCCAAUUGCGACCUAAAUCAAAAUAUAAGGGUACUCAGUACAUUUAGGCAUUAAUUAAUCACAAAAAUGAAUGUAUUAAUGGAUGUAAAACAUGACAUUUUAUGUCUUAUCAACAGGAAAUGCUCAAUAAGGGGAUUAUCAGAACUAGUACUAGUCCCUUCUCUUCACCUGUGCUCUUACCGCGCUCUCAAUGCCGUUACCGUUAAAGAUUGCUUUCCCAUACCCACGAUGGAAGACAUGCUUGAUAAAUUACAUAGAGCUACUUCUUUUUCUAAGCUACAUCUUUCGGUGGGAUAUCAUCAAAUAAGAAUGCACCCUCCUGACAUUUCUAAGACUGCCUUUAGAACGCACAAUGGCCAUUAUGAAUACUUGAUCAUGCCGUUUGGGUUGUGUAAUGCGCCUUCCACCUUUCAGGCUAUUAUGAAUACAAUUUUCAGUCUUUAUAUCAUAAAAUUCAUCUUGAUUUUCUUUGAUGAUAUCUUAAUUUAUAGUCCUACUUGGGAAAUGCAUUUAGCACACGUGGAAAAAACUCUAGAAAUCCUAAAUUCACAAAAGUUCUUUGUCAAGGCUGGCAAGUGUGUAUUUGCCAACAAGAACUUGAAUAUUUGGGCCAUAUUGUGACACACAACGAAGU